CUCUGUAAUAAGAAGACGGGGGCUCACGUGUCUCAAAUAAAAUUAAAUAAAAUAAAAUAUUUACAGCAGCUGACCUGUCGUACAAAUAACAGUUGUUUCUGGGAAAAAUUGGCUCCUCCCACCCAGCGUGCCGUUGUGACGCCGACUGAUUUACUGGCGAUUGCCGCUGCCUGCCACAAAGUUGCCACCCACUUGCCACUGCCACAAGGAGGAUCUCGGCCCUAGUGUGAACGCACCUUCACAGAGAAAGAGAAAGAACCAGCACGUGGUCUGAGACCGGUAUUUUAUUCUUAACUUUGUAAAUGAGUUCUGAUGGACUUCACAGACUGAGGAGUUUUACUUGUUGAAGAGCUUCAGAUCACAGGACUCAAGACGUCCAAGGUAAGGAGAGAAGGACUUCAUCGAUAACACAAGAUAUUUACGGUUAAUAAUAUUUGUUUAGUUUAUUAAAUAUAAUUAACCUGUAAAAAGAUGAAAUGCAUUGAUCAGAUCAGAAUUUAACCUGAUCAUCAAGAUAAAAAACAGCUAACUCACAACUGCUCUGCACUUUAGCUUGUUAGGACUUCACUUACUGUUACUGUACUGUUUUAUAUUUAUAUUGCACACAUUUCAUUUAAUAUAAGUUUUUUUUUACAACCUGCUCAGUUUUGCACUUUUCCCCUUACCUCAUUUCUGCCUUAUUUUUAUUUUUAUUUCAUGUACGUUUAUGUAAAUAUUGGAUUUUAAUUUUAAUUUUAAAAUUUGUCGGCUUUCCAGAAAAGGCAAGCACAAUAAUUUCAAUACACAGCUCGUGUGUAACUGACAAUAAAACAUCUUUGAAUCUCUGCGUAAAGAAUCCUAAUCAGCCUCAUGAGGUUGUGCGUGUUCCCUGUGUGGUGUUUGUUACACAUUUCGGUACGUAGAUGUUCACUCUGAGGUCUGUGGAGCCAAAUGCAGAACACGAGCUUUGACACUCGAGAGAUUCAUGUGGUCGUUGAACGAUACAAUCUGAGAUAGUUUAGUGAUUUUAUUCUAUGAUUCUGACGAGUAGAGUCCAGAACAGCCAAACAGAACUUGGUUCCUGGCGUCAAUGGUUUCACAUCAUUCUGAAUACAGUGUGUAGAAAGUGUUGAUCCAUAAAACUCUUUGUUCCUACGUCUCCUGAAGGCAAC
Gasterosteus aculeatus aculeatus (three-spined stickleback) is the source of this 1151-nucleotide long non-coding RNA. Lineage: Eukaryota; Metazoa; Chordata; Actinopteri; Perciformes; Gasterosteidae. The record is from Ensembl.